RNAcentral lists this ribosomal RNA (427 nucleotides) under uncultured bacterium. Its description in RNAcentral is "bacterial SSU rRNA". It matches the Rfam family "Bacterial small subunit ribosomal RNA", at positions 355 to 774 of the family's 1533-position model. The record is from RNAcentral.
UGGGGAAUUUUGGACAAUGGACGCAAGUCUGAUCCAGCCAUGCCGCGUGCGGGAAGAAGGCCUUCGGGUUGUAAACCGCUUUUGUCAGGGAAGAAACGAGUUUCUCUAAUACAGAGACUUAAUGACGGUACCUGAAGAAUAAGCACCGGCUAACUACGUGCCAGCAGCCGCGGUAAUACGUAGGGGGCAAGCGUUAAUCGGAAUUACUGGGCGUAAAGCGUGCGCAGGCGGUUAUGCAAGACAGAUGUGAAAUCCCCGGGCUCAACCUGGGACCUGCAUUUGUGACUGUAUAGCUAGAGUACGGUAGAGGGGGGUGGAAUUCCGCGUGUAGCAGUGAAAUGCGUAGAUAUGCGGAGGAACACCGAUGGCGAAGGCAAUCCCCUGGACCUGUACUGACGCUCAUGCACGAAAGCGUGGGGAGCAAACA